CCCCAGGCUGCUGAAGCAGAAUGUGAGGACUUAACUGCGGCACCAGCAGAUCUCUGUCAUUCAGUGUAUUAAUGGUGAUUCCACCAGAAAUUGCCUAGACUCCUUGAAAUUUGGGACCUCUGAAAAAAAGAGCUUGAGGCUGAGUGUGCCAUUCAAAUUAGGAGAAUUGGAGACAAACUGAAUUUCCGGCAGAAACUUCUGAAUCUCAUAGCCAAACUCUUCCGCUCAGGAACCUGACUGCUCCAGGAGCCUCUGGAUGAGGAGACCCCCUUAAAAUGGAAGGUGUUGAUCCCCAUCAAUUAGAGGAGAGACUGUCUUGACGUGGAGAGCAAUGUGAAGGCACUCUUGUUCGCUUUUGGAUGCCCUUGGAAACGAAGAUAGAAUACGUCAAAAAUGAAUUUCUGUUGGAGGUUUCCCAGAAGUCAUUCUUUGGGAUAUGAGAACAUUGUAAAACCACUUUGUUUAUUUUAAAACAAGAAUGGAGGAACUUUGAAAAUAGGGAAUUAAGUAUGUAUACAUUUUGUUUUGCUUAGGGAAUCGUUGUAGUAUUUUUGCUGAAAGUUGCUGCUCAGCCUAGCAUAAAGAGGAGUUGACAAAUGGUUAGACUUGGUGGGGUCAGCAAACGGAGGAUGUUCAGUGUUUGCUUCUACUUUUGGAUGACGACUCCAGAACAGUGUAUAUUUGGUUUAUAUAUAUAAUUUUUUUAAAAGUAAAAGUUUCCUUCUGAGAACACUGAAUGUCAUAGUGAAUGUCGAUUUUAUAGGUCACUACAAAUUAUAAAAUAACCUGGUAGUUUGUUUCUUUUGACUCAAAAUGUAUUGCUUCUGUUCAGAGGACCUUUCAUUAAAUGUGUUCCUGUGGGCCACAACUGGAAAGUGUCUACUUUGAAAAAACUCGAUAGACGUAUAGGAAUGUUACUUGGUGCCAGUAAAAUUCUUGCAGGUUGAAUAUUGAAGGAUAAAGAGUAUGGGGAUUUUUGCACAACCAGGAAUAAUGAAAAAAAAAUGAAUUCGAUUUUUUACUGUUGUAAUUAAAACUUUGCAAAACAAAUGUUCUAUAGUAACUGUUGGUAAGGAGAUGAACGUGUUUCCUACAGAAGUUUUUAAAAUCUAUAAAAUGCCCUUUCUCAUGCUAGUCAACUAGUAAGCAGCCUAUAUAAAGUGAUCUUUUAGGAGAAAUUAAGCAUGUUUCAUAAUUGGGAUUUACUUUUUUUUUUUUUAAAAAAGGAACAGAUUGCUCAUCCAGAAUGAAAAUCCAUUUACAUACAUGAAUAUAUAUACACAUAUAUAAUUUGCAUUAGAGUAAUAUUAAUAUGUAGAGUCUGAGAAGAGUUUCACGUAUUUCAUUUUUUAAAAAUUAUUAAGAGGCCAGGCUAUCAAAAAAGUCCCCAAAUAUAUGAAAAAGAAGUAAUAAUGUCAUGAUUAAAUUUCAGCAGGAAUAAUUUUAUUUAUUUUACCUAUUUAUAAUUAAAAUAUUUUUUGUUUAGUUUAAAAUGUCUGUUAGUGAAAAGUUCAGUUUUGGGUUAUGAGACUAGGGUUUCAUAACUACUUGAACUCUUACAGUAAGAAUGUUUUAAUAUAGGCUGUAGUCACUUUAGACGAAAAAUUACCUCAGCAUCUGUUUUCCUUCAGUAUUACUUAAAGCUGUUAGUUUAUUUAGUUGCAAAGUUUUUGUUUUUUUUGCUCUCUCUGCCUAGAGGCAGAUACUUUGCUAUAUGGAUAUUUAUGGCCUGUAACUCUAUUUAUACAUAUAUAUUCAUUAAACCUGAUACUGUAGCUGUAAACUAUUAAAAAUUAUUACCACUCUUUUCUGUGUGUUUAUUUUUUCAUCCUGUAAGCUCCUGAGUGUUCAUUACGAAACCAGAAUAUUUUAACUGGUUUCCAUCAGCGCCGUCUCUGUCCUAGUUCCGUGGCAGGAAUAGAG
This is a long non-coding RNA of Equus caballus (horse), 1923 nucleotides long. NCBI's taxonomy places the organism in Eukaryota, Metazoa, Chordata, Mammalia, Perissodactyla, Equidae. The record is from Ensembl.